CCAGACGUCCUACGGGAGGCAGCAGUGGGGAAUAUUGCACAAUGGGGGAAACCCUGAUGCAGCGACGCGCGUGGAGGAAGAAGGUCUUCGGAUUGUAAACUCCUGUUGUUGAGGAAGAUAAUGACGGUACUCAACAAGGAAGUGACGGCUAACUACGUGC
RNAcentral lists this ribosomal RNA (160 nucleotides) under uncultured bacterium. RNAcentral describes it as "partial 16S ribosomal RNA". It matches the Rfam family "Bacterial small subunit ribosomal RNA", at positions 331 to 508 of the family's 1533-position model. The record is from RNAcentral.